RNAcentral lists this long non-coding RNA (4248 nucleotides) under Gossypium barbadense (sea-island cotton). Its description in RNAcentral is "long non-coding RNA (GBAR_LNC003459)". The record is from RNAcentral. Lineage: Eukaryota; Viridiplantae; Streptophyta; Magnoliopsida; Malvales; Malvaceae.
UGGAAGCUAGGUUUGAGUUCCUUUCUAUUCUUUUAUUUUUUAAUGAACAUUACUGCCUUUUCGUGAAAUUGUCAAGCCUGUGCUAAUGUUAAAUUUCCUAGAAUUUUUCAGGAGUAUAAUAUGGAUCACAAGCUUGAUAUUGUUAGUCUUCUUGAACCAAGAGUAAGUGGGGCCAAGGCUGACAAAAUUAUUCCCAAGUUGGGGUUUCAAUUUUUGCAUCGCGUGAAGGCGAUUGGUUUUUCUGGGGGUAUUUGGCUUGGAUGGAAAGAUUUUGUUCGCCUUGAUGUGGUUCGUAGUAAUCUGCAAUUUAUCUUUACUCGAGUUUGGCAGAUGCCUUCACCACAUCCUAUUAUUAUUUCUUUUGUCUAUGGUAGCCCCGAUAGGCAAACGCGUCAAUUUCUUUGGAAUGAUUUGAGGAGUACAAAUCUGCUUGGGCAGAUUCCUUGGAUGGCUAUUGGUGAUUUCAACGUGAUCCUUGCUCCCUCUAAUAAAUCUAGUGGUAUUACUAAGGGUAGACAUUGCGCACAUUUUGGUUAUUUUGUUGACUCUACUGAGCUGCAUGAUUUAGGGUUUAGAGGGCCACCUUUCACUUGGCAUAGGGGUUUUUUGUCCGGGUGACUCGAUCGUGCAUUGGGUAAUGAGUCUUGGAUUCGUAAUUUUCCUAAUUGUAGGAUUACCCAUCUUCUAAAAAUCAAGUUGGAUCAUUGGCUUCUUUUUUUGGUUCUGAACCAGAGUAUUUCUCUCCCUCGGGCAAAUCCUUUUAGGUUUUUAGCCGGUUGGUUUGAACAUCCGGAUUUCAAAAGUUUUUUUAAGAAAAAUUGGAAUGCUCUAGAAAUUUUGUUGAUUCUUUUGGUAAGCUCACUCAUAAACUGAAGAGGUGGAAUAAAAAAGUUUAUGGUAACAUUACCACUCGCAAGAGGGAUCUUAUCAAAAGAAUCGCUAGCAUUCAAAGGAGAAGUGAUUACUCUAGAUCUCACCACUUAAAUCAGGAGGAUUUGUCUCUUCGCCACGAACUUAAGAAUGUACUUCACUAUGAAGAACUUCUUUGGAGGCAAAAAACGAAGUGUGAUUGGCUGAAGUUGGGGGAUAGGAACACAAAAUAUUUACAUACUCGCACUCUACAAAAGAGGAAAAGCAAUCGUAUUUAUGCUAUUUGCAACUCUGACGGCAAUUGGAUUUAUAACCCUAAGAACAUUGAAGGAGAAGCAAACGAUUUUUUUCCAAAGACUGUAUAGAGAAGCUCCUGCUCCUUUGGGUAUUUUACCUCCUAACAAGUUCCCUCAACUCAAACCUGUGGAUAUUGGUUUCUUUGGGAAACUUGUAUCUAAUAAAGAGAUCAAAGUGACCCUCUUUGACAUGGCCCUAUUCAAGGCUCCGGGCAAUGAUGGUUUUCAUGCCCUUUUUUUUCUAUAAGCAGUGGGGUAUUAUUGAGGGAGCGAUUUGCAAUUGGGUUAGGAAGAUUUUCAAUGAAAACCCUAUUAAGUCGGAUAUGAAUAAUAUUUUAAUUGUGCCCAUUCUGAAGGUUCAGAAUCUGAAAACUUUUGGUUAAUUCCGGCCAAUAAAUCUUUGUUCGGUUCUCUACGAGCUGACGAUGAAGGUAAUCGCUAAUUAUUUUAAGCACAUUUUUCCUAAAAUUAUCGUAUAGGAACAAAUUGGUUUUAUUGCAAUAAGGAAUAUCAACGAGAACAUCAUUUUAGCUCAAUAGGUAAUUCAUUCCAUGAGAUGUCAGAAAAAGAGGAAAUAGAUGGCGAUUAAAAUCGAUUUAGAGAAAACCUAUGAUAGAGUUAGUUGAGACUUCAUUGAUGUUUCUUUCUGAGCGGCAGGUAUCCUUGAAUAUCUCGUAAAUGUUAUUAUGUCCUCUAUUUCUAAUUCUACUAUGCAGGUAAUGUGGAAUAGAGUUCCGUUAUCUAAAUUCAGUCUCGUUAGAGGAAUCCAUCAAGGAUGUCCUCUUUCUUCUUAUCUUUUUGUGCUUUGUAUGGAGUGGCUUGGUCAUUUGAUUCAGGCUGCUAUCUCGGAAGAAAAUUGGGACCCUAUUCGGCUUUCUAGAGAUGGACCCGAUAUCUCGAAUUUAUUUUUUACUGACGAUGUGGUAAUCUUUAGUAAGACAGAUUCGAAGCAUUGCAAAAUCCUGAAAAUUAUUUUUGAUAGAUUUUGUGCGCUUUCCGGACAUAAAAUCAACGCUAGAAAGACUAACAUUUUCUUUUCUAAAGGCGUGGAUGAGGGUUCAAUGGAAACGAUCAACACAAUGUUGGGGAUUCAGAGAGUUCAUAACCUUGGUCACUAUCUGAGAGUCCCUUUCCUUCACCAAAGGGUUACUGUGACACUCUUUAAUUUGUGGUGGAAAAAAGUGUGUGGUAAGUUUCAAAGUUGGGAAGCCAAAAAUCUCUCUUUAGCAGGGCGGAUCACUUUAGCUCAAUCAGUUCUCUUAUCUAUUCCUAGUUAUUUCAUGCAGUUCAUGAUGAUACCUAGGAAAACUUGUGAUGAAAUUGAAUAGUUAGUCAAGCAAUUUAUCUGGGGGUCAUCCAAAAGGAAUAAGAAGAUGGUGCUGGUCAGUUGGGUCUCCAUUUGCCAAACAAAGGUGUGUGGUGGACUUGGUCUGAGGAACCUACGCGAUCAGAACAUUUCUUUCUUGAUGAAAUUAGGGUUUAAAUUGGUAUCUGAUAAAGAAGCUUUUUGGGUUCGUGUACUUAGAUCAAAGUAUCGAUUGAAGGAAGAGUUACUGAUUAGUAUUAACAGAGAUAGAAGCUCCUUUCUUUGAAAGUCUCUCUUCAAAGUUUGGUCUUUACUUCGUGAUAACUUACAUUUGCCUGUUGGAGAUGGCCACAAAAUUCAGUACUGGCAGGAUAAUUGCAUUCCUGAUAUUGGACCCUUGCUUAGAUACAUUCCUACUGAUGUUAAUCUAAAUCUUGAUUGCCGAUUGCAUGAGAUGAUUGCUGAGGAUGGUUUGUGGAACUUAGAUCUCUUUCACGUUUGGCUAUCAAAAGAGGUGACUCAAGCUAUUAAGGGUAUUCCUCAUUCACAUCCUUUUAAAGGUCCUAAUAGAAUUUCUUGGAGUCACACUUCGUCUGGUAUUUUUUCACUUAAAUCUGCCUAUAAAGCCAUCAAUGGAGGAGCUUGGAACCCUGAUGAUGAAAAAUAGAAGAUGGCUUGGAAAUUUCGUGGACCUUAACAGAUUCGUACCUUUAUUUGGACGAUUUUACAAUGAAGAGUUCUAAGUAAUGUUGAAAGAGUUAGGAGAGGUAUCUCGGACGACCCUUCGUGCCAUAUUUGCGAUUUUCACUCAAAAGAUAUUUUGCACAUCUUACGUGAUUGUCCGGCAGUUAAAGAUGUUUGGGCUCAGGUUAAUCCAGGUAAGUAUAUUCCAAACUUUUUUCUUUUCCUUUUCAAGACUGGUUUUUUCUUAACUUGCUGGGGAAUAGGUUGGUCCAUGAGGGGGGAGCUAGUUGGGAUUGCUUAUUUGGAUUGCUUAUUUGGUGCAUAUGGAAAAAUCAGAAUUUAUACAUCUUUCAAGGCAAACCGUGAGCUCAAACGAAAUAGUGCAAGGAUCUUACAAUUGGGCAAUACAUUUCUUCUCUUCCUCUCAAGAGGUCCCUUCUGGAUGUCUUGAUCAACUUGUUGAAGUCCAUACCUCUGAAGAAUAGGGUCCUCUUUUCACUAAUGGGGCAAUGCAAUUAGACUCUGGACUUACUGUAGUUGGGGGAGUUGUUCGUGAUAAGGAGGGGCAUUGGAUCACUGGCUUUCACCGUUUCCUUGGAAAAUGUUCAGUUUUUAAUGCGGAACUGUGGGGUAUUCUUGAUGGCCUUAAACUAAUUCAACGUUUGGACUAUGAUCAUGUUAUCAUUCAUUCUGAUAGCUUGGAAGCUGUUAAAGGCAUACUAGACUCUUCAAAUGUUUCUAAUUCUGCAUUAAUCUGACGUAUCCAUAAUAUCAUGUUUUAGGAAAAUCAUUGGUUCCUGCAAUAUAUUCUGAGGAAACAAAAUCAGAUUGCGGAUUGUUUAGCUAAGAAAGCUUUGCUCGAGAAAGGAGAUCUGCAAGUUAUUGACGUCCCACCCGAGAUGGCUCGUGUUGUAAUUUAUAAGACUUAGUUUUCAGGCAACUUUUUUAAUUAAGUGUUAUUCUUGUAAUUUUGUUUUUUCUCACCAAAAAAAAUUGACCCUAAUUCGAUGCAAAGAAAAUAAUUAAUUUACUUAUGAAAUUAUACGGUUUACAUUAAAAAUCGGUUAGAAUAAAAAAUCAAACCAAUUGAAU